UGCAUGGACGAGACGUGAACCAAGUGUGUGCAAUAUAUACAUUGUCCAAUUCCACCUGCCCCAUUGUCCAGAAGCUAAAAUAUCUUAACGUCCCGUGUGUGGUCUGCCGUUUCUUCUUUAUAUUCAAACGGAAUUGGGGUUAAAACGAUAACGGGAUGAGAGCUAGAAAAAAAAGAGAUAAAAGCCAUUUCUAUAAACGAUUAUUUUUUCCUUUUUCAUAUACAUAAAUAUUGAUUUAUCCGUGUUCUGCAAGCUGCGUUGACGUCUCUUAUUAUUAUUAUUUUUUAACUGUCUCUUUUGAUAUAUUCUUUUCUCCCAUAACGCGGUAGUGGGCGCUCUAACUUGGGCUUUUGAAUUCAAUAAUUUUUUUUUUUUAUUUGAUACGUUCAGUUUUUGUCAAUGUCCCCGUUCGAGACAAAAAUAUUGUUUCUCUUUGUAUUUUUUUGUUCAUGCCCUCCCUUCCUUGAAAUUGUCGGAUCGUUUUCUAUAGUGUACAUUGUUCGACCAGUUGAUGAAUCCAUUUAUUAUCUCUCCCCCCAUUCAAUCCAAUGUUGUGUUGUGCGCUCCCCGAAAAAUUGACAACAUUGAUGAAGUGAUGGAUAACGACGUUUUGAAGAAAGGAACAAAAACAUUGACCCAAAUGAAACAAACAAAUGAAAAUCUAACCCAUUCAACUUGUAAUAUCUGCUCCCGAAAGAACGACGCAAAAUUAAACGAGAUAGUCUUGAAUCUUCUUGAAUUCCACCGUCGUCGUGUUCGUUUGUCCUUUUAGAUGGCUUAGCUAAUCGAUAACUCGUUAAGAGGGAACUUGUAGGUAUUCAUUAUUCUAGUCGUGCUGACGGCUGUUAAUUGUUCCGUGCAAGUUUUACCGCACAGGUUUUAGCGGCCGUGAUGUCAGCCCUUUUCCGUAGGCUUACACGGAUGUUUGCCGUUGGUCUGCAUAACGAACGCCACCGUGAUUAAACGAGGGGAUUGAAGAAAAACGUGUCGGAUCCCUGUUCGUUAAUUGGAUUCUUUCAUACACGACCGACAAUAUAUUGGAGGCAGCAGUGAUCUACUACUUUCAACAAUGGCUUGUGCACGAUUGUAUUUGCGGGAUACUAAAUCUUUGGCGUUGUUCGUAUUUCUUUUGCAAAUGUUUAGGUUAAGCUAUACACACGUGAGAGCGUUUCGUUCGUGUCUGGGAUGAAGAGUGGACUAACUGUAGCCGGUGACAGGUCUAGAAAUGAAUCCUCAAGGAACUGAACUCAGUUGAUAUCUUAUGUUUGUUACGUGAUUGGUGACUGAAGGUUUGUGUGUAUUUACCUAUGGCUUUACAGUUAGUUUUGGGACGUUGAUUUAUGGAUGGCUUAGCUACUAGCUUUGAAAUCUUUCUGGGUCAACACAGUACGUCAUUACUUUCCAGUUUCCCAUUAUCAGCGAUCUAGGGCGCCUCCUUAUUCACAGAUGUCGUUGUCGUCAAAAUUGGUGAGUUUAGUUAACUUUAACUAUGUGUUAUCGAAUAAUCUUUUAAUUUUGCAAAGUGCCAAUUUCCGUAGUUCUUCGCCCUCUCACAGACCUGCAGACAACUCUAGACACGAAAAUAACUUUGUUAAUGAGGAAAGGAGUUUCCUUUUAUGUUACCUUAAUUAUGCAAUAGCAGAAAAAAAUUUGUUUGGCAUUUUAGUCAACGAUUUCCAUGUUUUUGAAAAGAAAAAAUAUUCAACAAUAACGAAAAACUUUAUUUGUGUCAACGCAUCGCUGUAAAUGUUCAGAACGGUGUGAGUAGCGUUUGCCGGAGGACGAAAUCGGAUUGCAUAAAUUAACAAAAAAGUUUCUUAAACAUGCAAAUUUUGUUGUUUGACGUUUUCCUUGCUUUCUUGUCCAGAAAAAUAGAGCUAUUUUUUCUUAUUAUGUAUAAUUUUAACAUUUCAUAUAGAAUGAAAUCUGCAACGUUGUGUCUACAGACAGCAUGAACCAGCUGAUUUUGAUUUUGAAACCCUAGUUGAAUAACGUUGUGAUUACACCUACACUUUUGGCAAAAGUUGCUGUUCAUUAUAGUAUGUGGCACCAUUUAUUUAACUGUUUCUUCAGUGCAGCUGAAAACGUUGGUAUAAAAAAAAAAAAACAGUUUGAUCGAUAAUCUGUGAUUUAUUUACGAACGAUAUGGGCCUCGUUGAGUCCAUGUUUACGUACGAUCGAUCACGCAAUCAAUUCAAAGGCAAAACGUUGAUUCUUUUGGCUAUGAAUUCUGUGAAACAAUUCGAAUAAAACCACGACAGAGAGCCACUCCAAGACACUGGAUCGUCCAUUCGUGUGGCAUCAGCUGUUAUUGUUCUCUCGGCGUCUUCGUGCACAAUUUGAAGAACUACUAUUACACGAAUCGAGGCAAUCAGUCACGAAGAAAAGUAGGGCAGACGUCAGUGAAAAGUGAUCGAGAUGGAAAAAGUGGAGCGUUAGGGAGUGCUGAUUGAAGGAGCCCAUGUGAUGGAUUCCGAUCAUCGCUCAUCCCGACGGCUUCUUCGUGUCAAGGCUUGCUGCCGUUUUCGAUAAGAAGAUGGCCGCUUGACCUCCGAUGUUGCCCUUUUUCCCCGCCAUCUGAGACGAGAGUUUCGCUACUUCCCACCCAGGAGUAAAUGUUAAAAAUUCAAGACGAAGUCCAGUUGGAAAUUGCAGCCACCCAAAGGACGACUGGAACUCUCCCCCCUCCCAUGAGCCCAAAAGACGCGAAAUGGGACUGAACAUACCUUUGGAUUCCUUGUGAUGGAACGUCGGGGACGGAUAGACACACGACGGUGAGGAGCCCGGGAAACGUGACGAUGAAGACGACGAGGACGAUCCGGCCACCAAAGAUGAUGAGGUCGUUGUGGAUGUUGUAACUGUCGUGGCGCUUCGGCUGCUGUUACUACCCGACGGGCGGCUGCUAUUGGCACUAGACACAUUCGGUUGCAUAUGAUUUAGCACAUCGACGACGCAAUCAUCGGGAUCGCAAUCACGAAAUCCUUUGGCGAACGGAUUACUGGCUAUCUUCAAUUGGGUGGCGAGAUUAUUACCCGAUGAUUUUGAUAGGCAGUUACGGCUGUGAAUUUAGUCUCUGGGAAAAUGAACGUGCGAAAGUUUUCUGUUUGCGAGGCGUCCUCGGUUCUUUGGUUGAUGUAGACAACGUGGAAACGAGGCUGGUAGCGAUGCAUGGAAUUCAAUAUGAUCUGUAUCGUUGGAAGAUGGUGGAGGCAUGUAAGAAAAACAAAUACAACAACAGGAGAAAGAGAGAGUCGUGUGAUGCACUGGCAUCUUAGCGUGUUGCACGCCAUUUGGAACAAGAGCCCACUAGAGAGUUGAUGGCCAUCUAAUGACUUUGGCAGCUGUACGUAGUUAGGCCUUGCCGAGCUUUUUCUAGAUCCCAAUUCUUUUUCUUUUCUGUGCUGCUUGUGUACACUGUUGACCUUUUGGUAUGACCCUCUCUCUCUCAUCAUCGACUAGAGACAGGCUGUAGCCAUCAGUAGCCAAAACAAGGCAACAUCUCAUCUUCCACUUGAUGAUGAUGAUGAUGAUGAAGAAAAUAGAAAAUGGGAGAACUUACGUGUCCGUUGUCAUCCAGCUGGUUGUUGGUUAACUUGAGUUUGUCGAACGAGACGACUUGUUUGGUCCAUUGAGAACCUUUUGCUGGCGAGUCUGGAUGAACGUGAAUCCUCGGUGGAGAAUUAGGAUCGGAUUUACCAGCCACUACCCAACUGGAACUGCGAUCCAAGCAAAAUUCCCAUUUCUUUUUACUUUAGAUUUUCCCGUUUGAAAAAAAAAAGUGUUUUCACUACCUGUGAAAUGCGUAGCGAUAUCGCUUGUCAUCCACUGGCACAAAGUCCAUCAUGAGCAUGUAAUCCGAAUUGGCGUCUAGUCCGAAUAGGCGCACCUGGAGCGUCGGAAACAUCCGCCUAAAUGGCAACGAUCCCCACCUUUGGUGACAAUCAUUUCGGUGCCCAGUUCAUUGAAUUCAUCCCACAAAGCCUUCAUCUCGAGACUAGCGUUGACUCCCGACAAUUUGGAGUGAAGCGGCUUUUUUGUUUCUUGUUCCAAGUCUGAAAAAAACAAAAAACGGUGGGCCCAAAAACAAUAAGAUUCGUUUCUUUUCAUACUCUUUGCUCUCUCUAGACUUACUCGGACUAGGGCUAGACUGGCCUCUCUGUCUGUUGGAUCGUUCCUCCUUAGUCAAGGUGGACGAAUCGUGGGUGUGAUUCCCGCUACCCAGUGGCGACAAUCCCGACGAUUGUCCGAUAUGAUGUGGAGCUGAAGGUGUAGGAGAAGCCGAAGAUUUGUCGCAACCCUCCUGUUGCAUCAUCACCGGCGGACCGAUCCCUUGUUGAUGCGAUUCUGAUCGGUAAAAUUGAUGUUGCUCUUGGCCGCCGGCUGUGAGUAGACAAGCUGAAUAGACAACGGACAAACAAUCAACAUGUUACAUUGUCGUCUUAUCAAAUGUUUAUGAUGUAUUAGAAGAUUGUUUGUUUAUAUACCUUCCAUGGCUCGCAUGGGCGUACUGAAACUAGCGCUGUGAUGAUGGAGUGAAGCCGGACUGUUCCAAUCGUUCCAGCAAUCAGUUUGCUGUACUUGCUCGUGGCUACGUGUACUUGUCGUCGAAGCCAUUGUGUGUGGCACUGUGGAAUAAAACAAACAAGCACUGCCUGAAAAUCGACGGCCGUCGCACAAAAGCUAAACUAGCUGCACUGUCCCGGCGCCAAAAAAAAACGAAUCCUUGUCACCUGAAAUAUUUUAUAAAAUGUCCAAUUUUAUGUGUGUGUGUGUGUGCGUAAACUGUCACGAUAUGUGGUGAUAGACGUAGUCAAGGAUCAAACGAGAGAUUGGACUGCGCACUGAGCUGGACUAGGCUGGUAUAUCGUUGGUCGACGAAGAUGAAGACCAAGACGAAGACGAGAGAAGACUCAUCAGCGUUGUCUAUUCAACUGAGAAGUGGAUAUCCCCCUCCUUUCACGGAAAGUAAAGUCAAAGAAGGAGGAGCAGGACGAGAAGAAAAAGAGGAUUUUCCCUUUGGGUCGUCUGUCUGGGCAACAGACCGCUUCAUCACCGCCCACGCAGCAGCUGAUCUCUAUGCACUCGUAACACGGCAGCUAAAGCUAUCGCUCCGCCUACUCUACUUUUCCCUCCUCCUCUUCUUUAUUGACUCAUUCCUUUCUGCCUCUUGUCUGAUUGCUUCAUCCAAUUGAAUUCUGUUUAACUCUGAUGAUACGGUUCAUUGACGUGGAAUGUCCGCUUUCAUCGCGUCCAUCGUUUUUAGUUUCACCCAAUCUUCUUCCUCUUUUUUUUUUUGUCUCUCAGCUACACGAAAAAGCCAAACAGUCUUUUCGUUAAUUCAAUCAUUAGCGCUUGAUUAUCACCCUAGUCAGCGCAGGCUGCUGAUAGAGUUGUAUGCGUUUACCGCGUGUUCUUCUCCUUUAGAUGUUCUUCACGCGAGCGAUGAUGUCAUCUUCGAUCAUCGCACGGGAGCAGCACGAGUUGGCAUCGUAAAAUCCAUUUGUUUUCGACAAAUGUGUCAACUAAUACAGUGGCUCUUUGCCGACAUUUCCAAUUGCAUGAAGUUCCCCGAUGACCUCCCCCCCCCCCGGCAGCCUUCGUGACCCGCACCUGGCAUCCAUGAACCUACAGGCCGAACGCAACAAAAUUACUUAACGCUGCGCUUUGCUGUUAAAAUGGGAAAUUAUUCUACCCGCUAACGCCGAUGUACGUGAAUUUACUUCCCAUAAUGCACGCCUGCAACGCUUGUGGAAAGUCUCAGGUAAACACAGCGGCAGGAUACGUCUAUCUUUAGAUUCCAAGAUGCUGGCCAGAAGCUGUCGGGAAUCGUGUAUAGUAAAGGCAGCGCAGCUAUUGCCGAGCCGUGUGUAUACAAGGACCGUUUUAAAAAUAGGGCAGAGAGGGAGAACGGGAGUUAUCUCCUGCGCUGCCGCCGCCAUGUCGGAAGAGGGGACGUGAAGUUUUAUACGAUUCGAUGAUGUACAAAUGACUUUCAGACUUGGCAUACUUCACAAUCCCGGUUCUAAUGAGGAACUGUAGCUGUCCCGCGGGCUCUAGAUUUGUGGCUGAAACUCUUGUAGGAGCUGCACGGCAAUACGGUGUGGAUAUGAACGCUCCUCAGCAUCUCCUGCGCAUCCGGAGGGGGGCUAAAAUAUCUACUACCACUACUAUGCCACUAUUAUUGGAAAAUAACAUGAAGCAACAACUGGACUGAUUUAGUGAGACAACUCGGUUCACUGUCUCACAAAUGAAACGCCAUUCAAGUUUGGCACGUCAAGAGGUAGCAGUUUAGAAUCCCUUCUUCCUCGAAAGAGUCCAAUAUGUUCAUCCACACCUCCGUCGUUUUUAAUAAAUCGGCUCUGCGUGUUCAAGUUGCUUUCGUUGGAUGACGAAAGCGAAAUCCCUUCGCCCAUACUAUUACAGGUAAAGCGGUCGUUGGUUUGUUACAUCCGGUUUACUUGACUGAUGGUGGAUUCCUUGACCAGACGAAAGCUUUACAUCACGACUUACUAAACGGAGUCUCCCUUUUAUUGCACUCGUCAUGACCGUAGUAUAAACACUAGUGUCUGUCAGUUCUUCUUUAGCGCGUCAUCAACGCCAUACGAAAUCCAGAAGCAUUGACCUCUAUAAACACAUUGAAAGAGAUCGAACUCUCUGACCCUACGUCUCAUAUGUGGCAAAUGUUCUGAUAUAAUAAGACAAUGUUUAAAACUACCAGCAAAACGAGUUAAAAAAAAAGUGUUCAAUGUGUGGAAACAGAGGUUGAGUCGUGUCGCUGUCUUUACAAAAAUAAAACUAUUACUGAGUAA
Long non-coding RNA from Daphnia magna, 6809 nucleotides. RefSeq lists it as uncharacterized. The record is from RefSeq and is a predicted model, not a curated record. The transcript is spliced from 9 exons. Lineage: Eukaryota; Metazoa; Arthropoda; Branchiopoda; Diplostraca; Daphniidae.